GAUGAACGCUGGCGGCGUGCUUAACACAUGCAAGUCGAACGAAGCACUAAGGUGAACCUCUUCGGAGGGAAACCUUAGUGACUGAGUGGCGGACGGGUGAGUAACGCGUGAGUAACCUACCUCAUACAGGGGGAUAACAGUUAGAAAUAGCUGCUAAUACCGCAUACGCUUGUAAAGUCGCAUGACUUUAUAAGGAAAACUUUCGUGGUAUGAGAUGGACUCGCGUCUGAUUAGCUAGUUGGUAAGGUAAUGGCUUACCAAGGCGACGAUCAGUAGCCGGCUUGAGAGAGUGACCGGCCACAUUGGGACUGAGACACGGCCCAAACUCCUACGGGAGGCAGCAGUGGGGAAUAUUGCACAAUGGGGGAAACCCUGAUGCAGCGACGCCGCGUGAAGGAGGAAGUAUUUCGGUAUGUAAACUUCUAUCAGCAAGGAAGAAAAUGACGGUACUUGACUAAGAAGCCCCGGCUAAAUACGUGCCAGCAGCCGCAGUAACAC
RNAcentral lists this ribosomal RNA (498 nucleotides) under uncultured bacterium. RNAcentral describes it as "bacterial SSU rRNA". It matches the Rfam family "Bacterial small subunit ribosomal RNA", at positions 28 to 526 of the family's 1533-position model. The record is from RNAcentral.